Molecule: long non-coding RNA, 449 nt
Filed under: Equus caballus (horse)
Lineage: Eukaryota; Metazoa; Chordata; Mammalia; Perissodactyla; Equidae
Description: lncRNA (ENSECAG00000050687.1)
Source: RNAcentral
GUGAGAGAAGGACAAAGCUUUACCCACUCAGUGUGGGGCCUUCACAUAAUCAGAAUGCCGCCGUAGCUGCCAAUUCACCUGUCAACAGAUAACAUUAGCUACACGUGGCCACUCGGGUCCAGAGAAUUCAUCCAUGAAUGCGCCAUGAAGGAGAAAGUGACUAGAAAUGGAAUCUUGUGGUCCUUUAGGUCCUCCUGAGCCAGGGAGCCACAGAGAUCAAGUCCAAUCCAGUGUACACUGAGCAGCCCUUGGGCUAUUUGGUGAGCGAAAAUCCCCCCCACCUGACUUUUCAAGUUCAGAGCUUCCCCAGGGGAUUAGAAUGCAGGUAUUCCCUCCUCUACUUCAUUAAGCGCUCCUGCUUGAUGCCUGGAACCACCGGAUCCCCACACAGUUCAGGCAAAGCCAGUCCCAGGCCAGAGCUUUGCAGAGACACGAGUCAGAGGGACAGA